This 433-nucleotide ribosomal RNA is filed under the name uncultured bacterium. RNAcentral's name for it is "partial 16S ribosomal RNA". It matches the Rfam family "Bacterial small subunit ribosomal RNA", at positions 29 to 507 of the family's 1533-position model. The record is from RNAcentral.
AACGAACGCUGGCGGCAUGCCUAACACAUGCAAGUCGAACGAGACCUUCGGGUCUAGUGGCGCACGGGUGCGUCACGCGUGGGAACCUGCCCUUAGGUUCGGAAUAACUCCCCGAAAGGGGUGCUAAUACCGGAUAAUGUCUUCGGCCCAAAGAUUUAUCGCCUUUGGAUGGGCCCGCGUUGGAUUAGCUAGUUGGUAGGGUAAAAGCCUACCAAGGCGACGAUCCAUAGCUGGUCUGAGAGGAUGAUCAGCCACACUGGGACUGAGACACGGCCCAGACUCCUACGGGAGGCAGCAGUGGGGAAUAGUGGACAAUGGGCGAAAGCCUGAUCCAGCAAUGACGCGUGAGUGAUGAAGGCCUUAGGGUUGUAAAGCUCUUUUAACCGGGAUGAUAAUGACAGUACCGGGAGAAUAAGCUCCGGCUAACUCCGUG